Long non-coding RNA from Vidua macroura (Pin-tailed whydah), 442 nucleotides. RefSeq lists it as uncharacterized. Lineage: Eukaryota; Metazoa; Chordata; Aves; Passeriformes; Viduidae. The record is from RefSeq and is a predicted model, not a curated record. The transcript is spliced from 4 exons.
UUUUGCAGUCUACCUGCAAAUGCUGUCUGCAUUUACCUGCUUGAUAUCCAGAGCAGAGAAUAUUUGUGACAAACCAGAGAUCUAAGUUGUGACUCAAACAAAAAAAGGUUCUGAGGUAGAAAUCCUAGCACUGAAGGAAGAAUCACCAAUGAUGGCAAUGAUGGAAUCUUUAGUAACCAGAAAAGAAAGUUUGUACGUGAAGGGCUGCAAAUCAUGUUUAUGUUCUGGGAGGAUAUAUGUUCUUCUUCAGUUUCUGAAGAGCCAGAAAAUAUGGAUUGUUCUUUUGGAAGUUCAUUCUAUUCCUUAUUCCACCUUCAAAUGCAGCUGGCUAAUGCUGUGUGGAUGUUCAGCUGUUUCCUCUGGGAGGGACUCCUCUCUCUAACCAAGUCAUGCAAAAGUUUGACAGAAAACAUGAAAUAAAAUACUACCUAGUUUGUUACCA